This is a long non-coding RNA of Lagopus muta (rock ptarmigan), 1096 nucleotides long. RefSeq lists it as uncharacterized. The record is from RefSeq and is a predicted model, not a curated record. NCBI's taxonomy places the organism in Eukaryota, Metazoa, Chordata, Aves, Galliformes, Phasianidae. The transcript is spliced from 3 exons.
ACAGGAUUAAUGCUUCAUUUUCCCAGAAGAAUUUUUCAGAUGAAGGGAGUCAGAGUCAUCGUUGCACAGAAACAGAAGCCGAGGUUUUGUUUUGUUCCCACAAGCUAUGGGUGGAAGCUGUGUUUUAAAAUCUCUGUGGUUCAUAUGCUCUAUAACACAAAGUUACCCCUAACAGGAAACAAGUUGGGUGGCAGCAAUGCCAGGACAAGGCAAAAUGCAGCUGGCUGGCAGUGCCUGAAAAGUAGCUGGAAAAUGUUGCUCCUCAACCAUGUCUGUCCCUCGUGUUCUUGGGUCUGCUCCUAAAUCUUCAGUACCAUUCAAAUUCCAUGUGCAUUCUUUGACACCUGUGCUGUAAGAAUGCUGGCUCUAAUAUCAAACCAAGGAAUGUGUACUGCUUGAAAGGCUUGAUAAUACUGUUUGGAGAAGGACUGGGGCAGUUUGGGAGACCUGUUGCUAUGAAAACCCAUUAAUGAUUAUCCUCUAAAAGCACAGCAAAUUACACAGCAGGCUAAAGGCCUUCCUAUUGGAUUACCAUAUUCAGUUCCCAGGGACUCCACAUGCUGUGCCAUGUAAUGCAUUUUACAUUGCUAGGGAGUUACUGAAGCCUGAGGAUAGCAGCAUUUUUCUGCCCUCUGGGAGAGUCAAGUUAUCUGGAAGACUACUGUGCUGACAGAUAAUUUUUGCUAUUACAUUUAUUUGGAAAGGAAAAGAAGCAAAUGCAAACAUUCAGAGUUGUUUUCCUCCUUCAGAUUCAAAAACAGAAUUUCUCCCUUAUAUUGUUCUACACUGAAAUGUUACAUAAUAAAGCUGUCUGGAGCCACAGCCUGUUUUGUCUUGAGAAAAAUAUAACGUAACCUCUGAGCUGAAGCAAAUAAAAACUGGACUCCUUCCACUGGGUGGGAACCAAAGAGAGAGCUGCAGUAAUGAUCCCCAUUUUCUGACAGCUCCUGUUACCGAACGGCCCUGCGUGGGACAGAGCAGUGUGGCAGGAACAAUGCCAGCUGUUAGAAACCAAGUACAAUCUGUGGGUCUGGCCUAGCCAUCUACGUUAACUUUGGAUCCAGUUUCUGAUCCGGCCACCCUGGAAGGACUUUGU